RNAcentral lists this unclassified non-coding RNA (149 nucleotides) under soil metagenome. RNAcentral describes it as "partial internal transcribed spacer 1". The record is from RNAcentral.
CCGAGUUUACAACUCCCAAACCCCUGUGAACAUACCUAUAUGUUUGCCUCGGCGGAUCAGCCCGCGCCCCCGUAAAACGGGACGGCCCGCCGCAGGAUCCACAAACUCUGUUUUUAUUGUAACUUCUGAGUAACAAAACAAAUAAAUCA